RNAcentral lists this transfer RNA (73 nucleotides) under Methanomicrobium mobile. It matches the Rfam family "tRNA". Rfam says of the family: Transfer RNA (tRNA) molecules are approximately 80 nucleotides in length. Their secondary structure includes four short double-helical elements and three loops (D, anti-codon, and T loops). Lineage: Archaea; Methanobacteriati; Methanobacteriota; Methanomicrobia; Methanomicrobiales; Methanomicrobiaceae. The record is from RNAcentral. RNAcentral also lists the same sequence under 1 other name.
GCCUCCAUAACUCAGUUGGUAGAGUGUCUGACUGUUAAUCAGAAUGUCACAGGUUCGAGUCCUGUUGGGGGCG